Vidua macroura (Pin-tailed whydah) is the source of this 631-nucleotide long non-coding RNA. RefSeq lists it as uncharacterized. Lineage: Eukaryota; Metazoa; Chordata; Aves; Passeriformes; Viduidae. The record is from RefSeq and is a predicted model, not a curated record. The transcript is spliced from 4 exons.
AAGGGGCAAAUCCUCACACCUGAGGGCGGGUGGGGCCAGCCCCGGCCCCUGUUCCGCCCCUCUCCCGGCGGUGCCGGGGCGGUGUGGGGCAGCGCAAGGUCAUCAGGUGCAAGUGAUAAGCUUGACGAGGUGAGACAGGCAGUGUGGGGAGGAGGAGCACCUGAUUCAGGAAAGGUCACAGCAGUUUCCACACCAAGAAAUUCCACUGUGCUACCUGAGUAUUCUGCAGAUACAAGGUGAGAUAGAGAAGUGAAGAAAAACAACAUACAGAGAGCCAAUUUGUCAUGCUAUAAACCCUUUUGAAAAAAAUUUACUUCCAGACUACUGAACUGAGAUGAUGGCUUGCAAGCCCUAAGUCAGUCAGGAAAAGGGAAGGAAGCUGCUGGAAAAGAGAAGAAGUUGGCAUACCUUCCCUUUGUUGAAGUAAUGGAUAAUCUUACGGCACAGACCUUCCUUACGUUGCCACUCUGACUGAGAUGGGUAAUGCAGGAACUCUCUCAGAGGUCUGUCCUCCCACUGAAGCAACUCACAGUACAAAAGCAAAGUGAAUGCAGCCUCUGUAGGAAAGGCAAUUAUGGAGCACUGAAUCAAUGACAGCAAAUAAACACAGUCAAUACUGAAAGGUCACAGA